RNAcentral lists this ribosomal RNA (324 nucleotides) under uncultured eukaryote. RNAcentral describes it as "partial 18S ribosomal RNA". It matches the Rfam family "Eukaryotic small subunit ribosomal RNA", at positions 1470 to 1796 of the family's 1831-position model. The record is from RNAcentral.
CCCUUAGAUGUUCUGGGCCGCACGCGCGCUACACUGAUGCAUUCAACGAGUUUCUUCCUGGUCCGAGAGGAAUGGGUAACCUUUUGAAAGUGCAUCGUGAUAGGGAUAGACUAUUGCAAUUAUUGGUCUUCAACGAGGAAUUCCUAGUAGACGUAGUUCAUCAGACUGCAUCGAUUACGUCCCUGCCCUUUGUACACACCGCCCGUCGCUCCUACCGAUUGAAUGCUCAGGUGAGCCAUUCGGACUUUCAUCAUGCUGGUUUCCAGUUUUGAUGAAGGAAAUUCUUGCGAACCUUAUCAUUUAGAGGAAGGAGAAGUCGUAACA